Molecule: ribosomal RNA, 286 nt
Filed under: Clostridioides difficile
Lineage: Bacteria; Bacillati; Bacillota; Clostridia; Peptostreptococcales; Peptostreptococcaceae
Description: partial 16S ribosomal RNA
Rfam family: Bacterial small subunit ribosomal RNA
Source: RNAcentral
CCUGCGGGAGGCGGCAGUGGGAAAUAUGGCGCAAGUGGCGAAAGCCUGAUGCAGCAACGCCGCGGGAGUGAUGAAGGCCUUCGGGUCGUAAAACGCUGUCCUCAAGGAAGAUAAUGACGGUACUUGAGGAGGAAGCCCCGGCUAACUACGGGCCAGCAGCCGCGGUAAUACGGAGGGGGCUAGCGUUAUCCGGAUUGACUGGGCGUAAAGGGUGCGUAGGCGGUCUUUCAAGUCAGGAGUGAAAGGCUACGGCUCAACCGUAGUAAGCUCUUGAAACUGGGAGACU